AAAAGGGGAAAUGUGGUGAAAUAUUGUGUACCCUAAUAAAGCUUGCCUGAGGAUCAGAGAACAGAACAAGCCACUAGAUUAAACAUGAAAACCAGGCAGUGGUGGCACACACCUUUAAUCCUAGUACUCAAAGGCAGAGAUCUGUCUGGAUCUCUGUGGGUUCAAAGCCACCCUGGACUACAUGAGAUUGACUCAGUCUAAAAGAGAAACAGAGCCAGGCAGUGGUGGCACACACCUUUAAUCCUAAUACUUGGGAGUGACACUCCUUUAAUCCUAGCACUUGGGAUCUCAUGGCUUUGCUACCAGUAUUUGAGAAGCACACAUGCCAUAAUCCAGCACUAGGAAGGAAGUGAAAUGGCUGGGUGGAGAAAGGCAUAUAAGGCCUGAGGAGACAGGAACUAGAGCCUUUUGGCUGAGACCUUUUUGGCUGAGGACUCAGAGGCUUGCAGUCUGAGGAUUUGUGUAGAUAGGAUCUUGUCUCCAUUUUAGCCUGAGGAUUUCAGCAAUAAUAAAAGGACCUGGAAGGAGACUCUGACCACUCACACUGUCACUGCUCAGUUCACCUGUCCUUUGCUGGUUGAUAUGAAAACCAGCUUCUUUGUGAUUCCAACACAGACUGAUGACAGCAGCUCUCCAGGGGUCUCAUGUGGCCCAGGCUAACUUUGACUUGCUGCCUCUACUUCCCAGGUGUGCCUAGUGCUGGUUAUUCAACUUUUUUGCCUCUCAGCUCUGAAUGCACCCUUUGCUUGAUUCUCUGUAAUGUGUAAUUCAGCCUUAAGCAGGGAUACUUGCUUCAACCUCUCUCCCUGAAAAGAAACUUUGGUAUUUUUUAUAACCCAGGAGAAGAAAAGAGGUGAAAGAAAGGCGAGAACAGGGCUGUGUGAUGGCAUUAGCUGAUUACAAAGACGUUUUGGGAUACUGAAGAGAAGUGUACAUCAUUGUUGUGGGAUAUUUGUACACUGUGUGAAGAUAUAUUGCUGUGAUUGGUUCAAUAAAGAGCUGAACAGCCAAUAGCUAGGCAGGAGAUACAGGCAGGACUCCUGGGCAGAGAGAAAGGAAGCCGAUGAAUCUACUUGUCCAAGAGACGCCAGGAGACACAGAAGAAGCAGUACGUGACAGAACGUAGAUUAACAGAAAUAGGUUAAUUUAAGUUAUAAGAGCUAGUAUGUCGCGUCCGCCUCUCGACCAGCAAGGAAGACGCGACGCCAGGCUCUUCUCCAAGCAGUUUAUUCAGGAACCUUGAACAAUCUUCUGACCCCGGGGAAAGCCGCCGCCUUCUUCUUCUUCUUCUUCUUCUUCUUCUUCUUCUUCUUCUUCUUCUUCUUCUUCUUCUUCUUCUUCUUCUUCUUCUUCUUCCUCUCUCUCUCUCUCUCUCUCUCUCUCUCUCUCUCUCUCACUCUCACACUCACACUCACUCGCGUGUGCCCUCUCAAAAGCCAGCCCACGCCCUUUAUAGCCACUGGGCAAUCAACCCCGUGGUGCCACGUGGACAAUGCCACUAGGGUCAUACGCAAGCAAGCCAGAUUAGGUCCAGGUGUGCGGAUCCUAGCCUUAGCCAAAUAAGGAGCAUCUGCCAUCGGGAAGGCAGAAGCCAGAUGCCGUGCCAUCUUUGAGGCACGGCCGUGCACGGCUCUCUACACUAGUAAAAAAAAACAAAAACAAAACAAAACAAAAAAAAAACAAGCCUAGGCUAAGGCCAACCUUUCAUAAGUCUCUCUGUUGUUAUUUGAAAGCUGGCUGGU
Molecule: long non-coding RNA, 1742 nt
Organism: Peromyscus californicus insignis
Lineage: Eukaryota; Metazoa; Chordata; Mammalia; Rodentia; Cricetidae
Exons: 3
Source: RefSeq, a predicted model, not a curated record